This is a ribosomal RNA of 572 nucleotides. The stretch from base 209 to 362 matches the Rfam family "5.8S ribosomal RNA".
GGAAGUAAAAGUCGUAACAAGGUCUCCGUAGGUGAACCUGCGGAGGGAUCAUUACAAGUGACCCCGGUUUACCACCGGGAUGUUCAUAACCCUUUGUUGUCCGACUCUGUUGCCUCCGGGGCGACCCUGCCUUCGGGCGGGGGCUCCGGGUGGACACUUCAAACUCUUGCGUAACUUUGCGUCUGAGUAAACUUAAUUAAUAAAUUAAAACUUUUAACAACGGAUCUCUUGGUUCUGGCAUCGAUGAAGAACGCAGCGAAAUGCGAUAAGUAAUGUGAAUUGCAGAAUUCAGUGAAUCAUCGAAUCUUUGAACGCACAUUGCGCCCCCUGGUAUUCCGGGGGGCAUGCCUGUUCGAGCGUCAUUUCACCACUCAAGCCUCGCUUGGUAUUGGGCAACGCGGUCCGCCGCGUGCCUUAAACGACCGGCUGGGUCUUCUGUCCCCUAAGCGUUGUGGAAACUAUUCGCUAAAGGGUGCUCGGGAGGCUACGCCGUAAAACAACCCCAUUUCUAAGGUUGACCUCGGAUCAGGUAGGGAUACCCGCUGAACUUAAGCAUAUCAAUAAGCGGAGGA